RNAcentral lists this ribosomal RNA (497 nucleotides) under uncultured bacterium. Its description in RNAcentral is "partial 16S ribosomal RNA". It matches the Rfam family "Bacterial small subunit ribosomal RNA", at positions 28 to 507 of the family's 1533-position model. The record is from RNAcentral.
GAUGAACGCUGGCGGCGUGCCUAAUACAUGCAAGUCGAGCGAACAGACGAGGAGCUUGCUCCUCUGACGUUAGCGGCGGACGGGUGAGUAACACGUGGAUAACCUACCUAUAAGACUGGGAUAACUUCGGGAAACCGGAGCUAAUACCGGAUAAUAUAUUGAACCGCAUGGUUCAAUAGUGAAGGACGGUUUUGCUGUCACUUAUAGAUGGAUCCGCGCCGCAUUAGCUAGUUGGUAAGGUAACGGCUUACCAAGGCAACGAUGCGUAGCCGACCUGAGAGGGUGAUCGGCCACACUGGAACUGAGACACGGUCCAGACUCCUACGGGAGGCAGCAGUAGGGAAUCUUCCGCAAUGGGCGAAAGCCUGACGGAGCAACGCCGCGUGAGUGACGAAGGUCUUCGGAUCGUAAAACUCUGUUAUUAGGGAAGAACAAAUGUGUAAGUAACUAUGCACGUCUUGACGGUACCUAAUCAGAAAGCCACGGCUAACUACGUG